CCGUUUUUAGCGUUGCAGUUAUGACAGGCAAAAUCAGCCAGUACUUUAAAAAGCGACCUCGCGAGGAGGAAAGUCAAGAGUCCAGGUGAAACACAGCAGAGAAAAAACGUAACAGGCAGUUAAAAUGCUAUAAUUCAUAGUGGUGACAACGUGGAAACUUGUGUCAGGUCUGAAAGUACUUCACAAGGGACUGGUGAUCGCGAGGGUCAGAAUGCAGGACAGGACGAGUCGGCGAGGCGAGGGUAAUUAAUUAAUUAGUUUCCAAUUAGGAGCAUAACAACGCAAAGCCAACGUGUACGUGGUUUUUAUUUCUCUUUCUAGAUCUUCUCAAAAACACAGAGCCAGUGGCUUUGACAAGCAGUGGCUCAAUCAAUUUACCUGGCUCAGGCAUACUGAGGAAGGCAUGCACUGCUGUUUAUGCCAAAAGCACUGUGCCCCAACACAGCAGGCAAUUGCUGCCUCCUUAGUGAGACAGCCAUCAACCAACUACAGGCUGGACAUAUUAAAAAGACAUGAGGUGACAGCCGUUCACAAAGCAGCAGAAGAGAAGGAGAAAUAUAUUAAAGAUGGUAGAACCUAAAAAAACUCAACUAAUAAAGUUACAAAAAAUAAAUAACAUAGUUUAGAUAGUUUAAGAAAUAAUUGGUUGUCGUUUUUUUUUUUUAGGGAGGACACUGCAGCGUAUACAUAUAUAUGAUUGAAAACACUAUCACUCUUCAUGUCUGUAUUAGAAUAAAAACAAAAAUACUUAAUGCAUGAUGAAUUGUUUUGUUUAAGGUGAAGACACCUCUGUGGAGCAGACUGAAGGAGAGGCACUUGGAUGUCUGUUGUAAGGUGGCCGUUGAUGGACCAGACCAGGAGGCCUUGGACUACAAGGAGUGCAUGAGGAGUUUCUACAGAAUGAAAAAGAGGAGGCUGAAAUGUUCUGUCUGGUUGCGAGAUGUGUGGAUGAAGUGUACUUUCAAUUUAAAGUUGCCAGCUGAUUUGUGUAUGUAUAUAGUUUUAAUAAAUGAAUGCUUUAACA
RNAcentral lists this long non-coding RNA (1024 nucleotides) under Xyrichtys novacula (pearly razorfish). Lineage: Eukaryota; Metazoa; Chordata; Actinopteri; Labriformes; Labridae. The record is from RNAcentral.